RNAcentral lists this ribosomal RNA (545 nucleotides) under Caracanthus maculatus (spotted coral croucher). RNAcentral's name for it is "partial 16S large subunit ribosomal RNA". It matches the Rfam family "Bacterial large subunit ribosomal RNA", at positions 1846 to 2586 of the family's 2925-position model. Lineage: Eukaryota; Metazoa; Chordata; Actinopteri; Perciformes; Caracanthidae. The record is from RNAcentral.
UAAAAGGUCCCGCCUGCCCCGUGACUAUAUGUUUAACGGCCGCGGUAUUUUAACCGCGCAAAGGUAGCGCAAUCACUUGUCUUUUAAAUGAAGACCCGUAUGAAUGGCUCAACGAGGGCUUAACUGUCUCCUGCUUCAAGUCAAUGAAAUUGAUCCCCCCGUGCAGAAGCGGGGAUGAACACAUAAGACGAGAAGACCCUAUGGAGCUUUAGACACUAAGAAAGACCAUGUCACCCAUCCCUAAAUAUGGGACUAAACUAGUGGGAGCCUUUACCUAAUGUCUUUGGUUGGGGCGACCGCGGAGAAUCAACAAACCCCCGCGUGGAAUGGGCGCACCUGUUCCCCGAAGGAAGAGCUGCAGCUCUACCCAGCAGUACUUCUGACCUCUAAAUGAUCCGGCACAGCCGAUUAACGGACCUAGUUACCCUAGGGAUAACAGCGCAAUCCCCUCCUAGAGUUCAUAUCGACGAGGGGGUUUACGACCUCGAUGUUGGAUCAGGACAUCCUAAUGGUGCAGCCGCUAUUAAGGGUCCGUUUGUUCAACG